GAUGAACGCUGGCGGCGUGCCUAACACAUGCAAGUCGAGCGAUCUUCUUCGGAAGAGAGCGGCGGACGGGUGAGUAACGCGUGGGUAACCUGCCGUCUACUCUUGGACAGCCUUCUGAAAGGAAGAUUAAUACAAGAUGGCAUCAUGAGUCCGCAUGUUCACAUGAUUAAAGGUAUUCCGGUAGACGAUGGGGAUGCGUUCCAUUAGGUAGUAGGCGGGGUAACGGCCCACCUAGCCGACGAUGGAUAGGGGUUCUGAGAGGAAGGUCCCCCACAUUGGAACUGAGACACGGUCCAAACUCCUACGGGAGGCAGCAGUGAGGAAUAUUGGUCAAUGGACGAGAGUCUGAACCAGCCAAGUAGCGUGAAGGAUGAAGGUCCUACGGAUUGUAAACUUCUUUUAUAAGGGAAUAAACCCUCCCACGUGUGGGAGCUUGUAUGUACCUUAUGAAUAAGCAUCGGCUAACUCCGUG
RNAcentral lists this ribosomal RNA (472 nucleotides) under uncultured bacterium. Its description in RNAcentral is "bacterial SSU rRNA". It matches the Rfam family "Bacterial small subunit ribosomal RNA", at positions 28 to 507 of the family's 1533-position model. The record is from RNAcentral.